RNAcentral lists this long non-coding RNA (433 nucleotides) under Helianthus annuus (common sunflower). The record is from RNAcentral. Lineage: Eukaryota; Viridiplantae; Streptophyta; Magnoliopsida; Asterales; Asteraceae.
GUUUCUAAUUAAUCCUUUUCCCUUUCCCUCAAAACCCUAAGACGCCUCUUUCUUCUUCACCGUCAUUCUCGAUUUCUCACAGAUUCUCACCCCUGCAAUUAAGGUUCACUUCUUCGUUUCGUAGUUCUCAUUGAACCUUUGAACUUCAUUCAAUCGCAGCAGAUUUAAGAUUAGAACUUCUUGAGAUGUUGAUAGCUCCUAUUUUACAAACUGGAAUUGUCGAAGAUGAUAUAUGUGAUGCGUUCUUCCAUAUCUUCUAAGCUCAUCUGACAUCAUAUUUAUGUCAGGAAGUGCAUCAUUUUACAUGAAGAUAUUGUAAACAUAUCAUGAUAUGUUUGAUAUGUUAUGAUAUUCUUGAUAUUUUUUGUUUCAUGCUUCGAUAUAGGCACUGAACUUUUUAUAUGCAACUUCCACAACAAAAAGAUUGACUCUU